UUCUUGAUUCAUUGAUGCCACUCUACUAAGAGUCCAACUCUAGUAUUCAUUGUCUUUACUAAUGCCACACAAUUCAUAUGUCAUAAUGUCAUUUAUUCUCAAUGUCACUAGAUUCUUUACCUUUUCUAGGUUCUUGUCAUCAUUCAUGCAUACAUAGGUUUCUUUUACAAGUUCUCACUAGUUCACAAUCAUCUCACAUGCAUUUGUACUCACAACAUGCAACAACGGUAAUAUAUCGAAUUUUAAUUUAAAAGCGAGUAUAAAUAAAAAUAGUGUGAGAUACUAUUUUUAUUGAAUUUAGAGAAGUAAGAUAUGUGUCGGAAACAACUCGUGCUGAAAUCGAAACGAAAACAGAAAAUUUAGAAUUUUCUGUGAGAAACGGGGCAGAUAAAUUAGCAGAAAAUGCACAGUGUCAGAAAAUUAUGAAAACUAGAGGAUAUGUCAGAAUUAUUUUUAUGAGGCUAGAUUUAAAGUUUCAUGCCAUUCUGACACCCGAAAAGUAAAAAAUAAAAUCCGACUGGUAUCUGUUAGAAAUGUUGUUCCGUAGAGAUUUCGGUGACCAAACAGGGUCGAAACUNGCAGAUAAAUUAGCAGAAAAUGCACAGUGUCAGAAAAUUAUGAAAACUAGAGGAUAUGUCAGAAUUAUUUUUAUGAGGCUAGAUUUAAAGUUUCAUGCCAUUCUGACACCCGAAAAGUAAAAAAUAAAAUCCGACUGGUAUCUGUUAGAAAUGUUGUUCCGUAGAGAUUUCGGUGACCAAACAGGGUCGAAACUGAAAGAUAAAAAUUUCUUUCUUCAAGUUAAGUAAAACCAAACAUGACUGUCAAAUUUGAGCUCAAACGGACAUUCAGAUAACUCCGACGAAGAGUAUCAAAUUCUGAAAGCUAAGCUACUGGUGUGAAUAGUGUUUUGAGGGUGUUAAUUAUAAA
Molecule: long non-coding RNA, 927 nt
Filed under: Ananas comosus (pineapple)
Lineage: Eukaryota; Viridiplantae; Streptophyta; Magnoliopsida; Poales; Bromeliaceae
Description: long non-coding RNA (ACOM_LNC030636)
Source: RNAcentral